GGGAACGUGGCUCAGUAGUAGAGUGCUUGCCUUGCAUGCAUGAGGCCCUGGGUUCAAUUCCUCAGCACCA
This is a non-coding RNA of Dipodomys ordii (Ord's kangaroo rat), 70 nucleotides long. Lineage: Eukaryota; Metazoa; Chordata; Mammalia; Rodentia; Heteromyidae. The record is from Rfam.